UUGGCACAAAUACAAAAAGUUUAAAACUUUUUGACACUUUUCCCCAUUUACCUUUAUUUCGUUUCAACUUUGAAUUCCCUGUCAUGAAAAAAAAAGUUGGGACAAUUACAUGCAACAAGAGUCCUAAAAUUUGUGUCAAUCCCGCACUUGAGACCUAAAACUUUGAAUUCAUGCUUAAUAAGUCCUAAAGAUUGUUUUUGUCCUUCACGUUAGUCUUUUCAUUAGCUCCAUCAAUUUUUAUAUAUAGAAAAUUUAUUGGAUUUUUUUAUUAUUUUUUAAAUAAUUUUCACAAGUGGCACUGAUAUGGCGCAAAUAGGCACCACAUCACAAAAACUAAAAAUAAAAAGCUAGAGUUUAAAUGAUAAAGGUCAAAAAAGUACAGAGCAAGUGAUCAUCAAAGAGGAACAAGAAAGGGCCGCCCCCUUUGUCACUGGCAAGGUUUGGUUGCUUAAUGGUGGCAACAACGUAGCUCGCCACCACUCGAGGAGGCUCGAGUGGCCCUCGCAUGGGCAUCAUCAGCCUCCACUGCAGACCACCGAUGGAAGACCCUUAUAACCUCACAAACGGAUUAAAUUCAAACAUUUGGCAUGUGUAGCUAACUCUAAUUCAAAACAGUUGGUGAGAUUUGAAACGUUGAAUUUCAAUUUCUAAGUUGAAUAUCUCCUGCUUCUAACCAAUUGCACCAACCUUGGGGGGUUGAGUUGCCUUUUCCUAUUAUGUAACUAUCCAUUCAUAGAGCAUGUUAUUUGAUUUACUUUUGAACAAUCAAUUAUGUAAUAUGAAGACAUAACUCCCAAUUAGCAAUGCACUCGAUUACCAUC
Syzygium oleosum is the source of this 821-nucleotide long non-coding RNA. RefSeq lists it as uncharacterized. Lineage: Eukaryota; Viridiplantae; Streptophyta; Magnoliopsida; Myrtales; Myrtaceae. The record is from RefSeq and is a predicted model, not a curated record. The transcript is spliced from 2 exons.